GAUGAACGCUGGCGGCGUGCCUAAUACAUGCAAGUCGAGCGAACGGACGAGAAGCUUGCUUUUCUGAUGUUAGCGGCGGACGGGUGAGUAACACGUGGAUAACCUACCUAUAAGACUGGGAUAACUUCGGGAAACCGGAGCUAAUACCGGAUAAUAUUUUGAACCGCAUGGUUCAAAAGUGAAAGACGGUCUUGCUGUCACUUAUAGAUGGAUCCGCGCUGCAUUAGCUAGUUGGUAAGGUAACGGCUUACCAAGGCAACGAUGCAUAGCCGACCUGAGAGGGUGAUCGGCCACACUGGAACUGAGACACGGUCCAGACUCCUACGGGAGGCAGCAGUAGGGAAUCUUCCGCAAUGGGCGAAAGCCUGACGGAGCAACGCCGCGUGAGUGAUGAAGGUCUUCGGAUCGUAAAACUCCGUUAUUAGGGAAGAACAUAUGUGUAAGUAACUGUGCACAUCUUGACGGUACCUAAUCAGAAAGCCACGGCUAACUACGUG
This 497-nucleotide ribosomal RNA is filed under the name uncultured bacterium. RNAcentral's name for it is "partial 16S ribosomal RNA". It matches the Rfam family "Bacterial small subunit ribosomal RNA", at positions 28 to 507 of the family's 1533-position model. The record is from RNAcentral.